CUGAGAAUACAUUGGUGAAGCGAGUAUCAUCCUUCUAAUACUAUGAUGUUACAAUUAUGAAAAAAUAAUCCAUAUCCACACUUUUAAUUUUAACACGUCCCUGAAUUUUCACCAAAAUACAAAAAAAUAUUGUCCUUCAAAGUCAAACAGUACUGUAUCCGUCCAUGAUUUAUCAACGUCAACAAAUGAUGUCGUUUCAACAAUGCAGAUCGUUUCACCUGGAUGGGGGACACAGGUAGGAAUGAAAAUCUCCCACAACAAUACUUUAUAAUAGUCGACCGCUAUCAAUAAAAGUGGCUUGACCAUAAAUAUAUUAUCGGUAUAUAGUUUUAUAAAUUGUAGGUAAUAAGUGAAAGUUUCCAAACCUCUCUCUCCAGGAUACAGGUAAAAACGACAAAAAUGACAAACAGGUAACACAGCUGACUAG
This 427-nucleotide long non-coding RNA is filed under the name Mytilus galloprovincialis (Mediterranean mussel). The record is from RNAcentral. Lineage: Eukaryota; Metazoa; Mollusca; Bivalvia; Mytilida; Mytilidae.